GUUGAAACACCGGCUCUCGUACGAUCAUCGAUGUUAAGCAAUGUCGAGAAUGGCCAGUACCUAGAUGGGUGACAGAAUGGGAAGACCUGGUGCUGUAAG
Acanthosepion pharaonis is the source of this 99-nucleotide non-coding RNA. NCBI's taxonomy places the organism in Eukaryota, Metazoa, Mollusca, Cephalopoda, Sepiida, Sepiidae. The record is from the annotation of a GenBank genome assembly.